CACAAUGGGGGAGACCCUGAUGCAGCCAUGCCGCGUGUGUGAAGAAGGCCUUCGGGUUGUAAAGCACUUUCAGCAGUGAGGAAGGUGGUGUACUUAAUAAGUGCAUGGCUUGACGUUAGCUGCAGAAGAAGCACCGGCUAACUCCGUGCCAGCAGCCGCGGUAAUACGGAGGGUGCGAGCGUUAAUCGGAAUUACUGGGCGUAAA
This 205-nucleotide ribosomal RNA is filed under the name Salinivibrio kushneri. RNAcentral's name for it is "partial 16S ribosomal RNA". It matches the Rfam family "Bacterial small subunit ribosomal RNA", at positions 367 to 564 of the family's 1533-position model. Lineage: Bacteria; Pseudomonadati; Pseudomonadota; Gammaproteobacteria; Vibrionales; Vibrionaceae. The record is from RNAcentral.